GGCCUACCAUGGUGGUAACGGGUAACGGGGUGUUAGGGCACGACACCGGAGAGGGAGCCUGAGAAACGGCUACCACAUCCAAGGAUGGCAGCAGGCGCGCAAAUUACCCAAUCCCGACACGGGGAGGUAGUGACAAUAAAUAACAAUACGGGGUUCUUUCGGAUCUCGUAAUUGGAAUGAGUACAAUUUAAAUCUCUUAACGGGGAACAAUUGGAGGGCAAGUCUGGUGCCAGCAGCCGCGGUAAUUCCAGCUCCAAUAGCGUAUAUUAAAGUUGUUGCAGUUAAAAAGCUCGUAGUUGAAUUUCGGGGUCAGCAGGUUGGUCGUGCCAAUGGUAUGCACUGGCCUUGCUGAUUCCUCCCUCUUGAUGAGCCGUAAUGCCAUUAAUUUGGUGUUGCGGGGAAUCAGGACUGUUACUUUGAAAAAAUUAGAGUGUUUAAAGCAGGCAAGCGCUUGAAUACAUUAGCAUGGAAUAAUGAAAUAGGACGUUCGAUCCUAUUUUGUUGGUUUCUAGGAUUGACGUAAUGAUUAAUAGGGAUAGUUGGGGGCAUUAGUAUUCAAUUGUCAGAGGUGAAAUUCUUGGAUUUAUUGAAGACUAACUACUGCGAAAGCAUUUGCCAAGGAUGUUUUCAUUAAUCAAGAACGAAAGUUAGGGGAUCGAAGACGAUCAGAUACCGUCGUAGUCUUAACCAUAAACUAUGCCGACUAGGGAUCGGAUGAUGUUAAUUUUUUAAUGACUCAUUCGGCGCCUUACG
Molecule: ribosomal RNA, 753 nt
Filed under: uncultured Glomus
Lineage: Eukaryota; Fungi; Glomeromycota; Glomeromycetes; Glomerales; Glomeraceae
Description: SSU rRNA
Rfam family: Eukaryotic small subunit ribosomal RNA
Source: RNAcentral